RNAcentral lists this long non-coding RNA (538 nucleotides) under Mytilus galloprovincialis (Mediterranean mussel). The record is from RNAcentral. Lineage: Eukaryota; Metazoa; Mollusca; Bivalvia; Mytilida; Mytilidae.
GCCUGGUCACGCCACACAUUUUUUAAACUAGAUAUCCCAAAGAUGAUUAUGGCCAAGUUUGGAUUAAUUUGGCCCAGUAGUUUCAGAGGAGAAGAUUUUUGUAAAAGAUUACUAAGAUUUACAAAAAAUGGUUAAAAAUUGACUAUAAAGGUCAAUAACUCCUAAAGGGGUCAACUGACCAUUUUGGUCAUGUUGACUUAUUUGUAAAUCUUAUUUUGCUGAACAUUAUUGCUGUUUACAGUUUAUCUCUAUCUAUAAUAAUAUUCAAGAUAAUAGCCAAAAACAGCAAAAAUUCCCCAAAAUUACCAGUUCAGGGGCAGCAACCCAAUAACGGGUUGUCGCAUUCAUUUGAAAAUUUGAGGGCAGAUAGAUCUUGACCUGAUAAACAAUUUUACCUAUGUCAGAUUUGCUCUAAAUGCUUUGGUUUUUGAGUUAUAAGCCAAAAACUGCAUUUUACCCCUAUGUUCUAUUUUUAGCCAUGGCGGCCAUCUUGGUUGGUUGGCCGGGUCACGCCACACAUUUUUUAAACUAGAUACCC